UGGGGGUCUUGUGGAUCACAGAGGUCACAUCCAGAGUGACCCCUGCUUCCAGCCUUUGCCUCUCUUCACAUUGGAGAUCAUAAGAUGCAGUCCCCAUCCUCAGCAUCUCCCAGUGAUGGAGCUGGCCUCUGCUCUCCAUCAUGA
This 144-nucleotide long non-coding RNA is filed under the name Cavia porcellus (domestic guinea pig). RNAcentral describes it as "lncRNA (ENSCPOG00000036206.1)". The record is from RNAcentral. Lineage: Eukaryota; Metazoa; Chordata; Mammalia; Rodentia; Caviidae.